UCAGAACGAACGCUGGCAGCGUGGAUUAGGCAUGCAAGUCGAACGGGAUCGGGAAGGUAGCAAUAUCGGCCCGUGAGAGUGGCGGAAGGGCGAGGAACACGUGAGCAACCUGUCCUGAGGUGGGGAAAACCGUUGGAAACGACGGCUAAUACCGAAUGUGGCGCCCGGAGACAUCUCCGGCGCGCUAAAGGGGGCCGCAAGGCUCCCCCUCUUCGAGGGGCUCGCGCACCAUCAGCUUGUUGGCGGGGUAACGGCCCACCAAGGCUCACGGUUAGCUGGUCUGAGAGGAUGGCCAGCCGCACUGGGACUGAGAUACUGCCCAGACUCCUACGGGAGGCUGCAGUCGAGGAUCAUUCGCAAUGGGGGAAACCCUGACGAUGCGACGCUGCGUGGAGGAUGAAGGCCCUCGGGUCGUAAACUCCUGUCAUGAGGGAAAAGGAGAGGGGACCCAACACGUCCCUUAUUUGAUGGUACCUCAAGAGGAACGGGCGGCUAACUCUGUGCCAGCCGCGGC
RNAcentral lists this ribosomal RNA (514 nucleotides) under uncultured bacterium. Its description in RNAcentral is "bacterial SSU rRNA". It matches the Rfam family "Bacterial small subunit ribosomal RNA", at positions 24 to 518 of the family's 1533-position model. The record is from RNAcentral.